CCAAAAAUCUAGCCACACUUAAUCUCAUGAACUUAUAUACUUCUACCUUAAAACUAAAAUAUUCUAAUGUUUCAGUAAAGACGAUUAAAAAAUCAACUCGAGCAAUAAAUUUGUACCGCAAGGGAAAGAUGAAAUUAAAAUGAAAUUAAUUUUAAGCACAAAAAAGUAGAGACCCACCCUCGUACCUUUUGCAUCAUGGUUUAACUAGCCCAAUUAAGCAAAAAGAUUUAAAGUUUAACAUCCCGAAACUAAGUGAGCUACUUCAAGGCAGCUAUAAGAGCGAACCUGUCUACGUUGUAAAGUAGUAGGAAGACCUUGAAGUAGAGGUGACAGACCUAACGAACUUAGUGAUAGCUGGUUUUUCAGGAAAAGAAUUUUAGUCCAACCUAAAGUUACCUUAAUAUAACUAAAUAAGAACUCAACUUUAGAGCAACUCAAAUAAGGUACAGCCUAUUUGAGACAGGAAACAACCUUUACCAACGGGUAAACAUUUCACCGUAAUAUUACUAAGUAGGCCCAAAAGCAGCCACCUUUAAAAAAGCGUCAAAGCUUAUGUGUACAACUCAACAAUAACCACACUCACAAUGACCCCUUCAACCGUACUGAAAAUUCCUAUACUUCUAUAGGACCUUUUAUGUUAAAACUAGUAACAAGAAGUAAUACUUCUCUUUUAUGUAAACGUAAGUCAAUAAGGACCCCCCACUGACAAUUAACAGAACAUCUAAUAUAGUAAACCCCCACUGGAAAACCCUAUUAUAAUACGCUGUUAACCUAACACAAGAACAUCUCAAGACGAUUAAAAGAAAAAGAAGGAACUCGGCAAAUACCUAACCCCGCCUGUUUACCAAAAACAUCGCCUCUUGUAAUCAUAAGAGGUCCAGCCUGCCCAGUGACUCCAGUUUAACGGCCGCGGUAUCCUAACCGUGCGAAGGUAGCGUAAUCACUUGUCUUCUAAAUAAAGACUUGUAUGAAAGGCAUCACGAGGGUCAAACUGUCUCCUUUUUCUAAUCAGUGAAACUAAUCUCCCCGUGAAAAAGCGGGGAUAAUAUUAUAAGACGAGAAGACCCUAUGGAGCUUCAAACUUAGCAGCACUUGCCCUUAACUAAAUUAACCCCACUACACCUUGCUGUAAGUUUUAGGUUGGGGUGACCGAGGAGAAAAACUAAUCCUCCCCAAUGAAUAGAACCUCAUUUUAAGUAAAAAGCCACACCUUAAUACAUCAAUACCCUUGACAUCUAUUGACCCAAUAUUUUGACCAACGAACCAAGUUACCCUAGGGAUAACAGCGCCAUCCAUUUUGAGAGCUCCUAUCGACAAAUGGGCUUACGACCUCGAUGUUGGAUCAGGGUACCCAAGUGGUGUAGCCGCUACUAAUGGUUCGUUUGUUCAACGAUUUAAACCCUACGUGAUCUGAGUUCAGACCGGAGUAAUCCAGGUCAGUUUCUAUCUAUAAAGAGUUUUUUCUAGUACGAAAGGACCGAAAAAACAUGGCCAAUACACCAUGCAAGCCAUAUUUAAUCACUUCUGAUAAGAACUUAACUAAUUCUUAAUCUCCAACUCCCCCUCUAUAC
This 1571-nucleotide ribosomal RNA is filed under the name Phrynopus bracki. RNAcentral's name for it is "partial 16S ribosomal RNA". It matches the Rfam family "Bacterial large subunit ribosomal RNA". Lineage: Eukaryota; Metazoa; Chordata; Amphibia; Anura; Strabomantidae. The record is from RNAcentral.